UCAAAAAAAAAUAAUAAUUAGGGUUUAGAAUUUGACAUAAUUUUUCAAUUGACACUUCAUGUAACCGGUGAUUAAUUUCAAAUUAAUAAAAUAUGAUGAUCUUAAUUCUGCUUGCAAGUAAACCUAUUAGGUAAAUUUAUGGCAUUGAACUUUUUUAAUGGGGACAGCAGUGCCAAGCCAUGAUGUUCUGUGAUCAAGAGGUUGUGGAAGAAGGAGCUAGUUUCAGGAGCUCAGCCAAUGAAUGUGGUUUGCGCUAUCGUCUCCAAUAGGACAUUUUUUUGUUUCCUUCAAAUUGAUCAACUCCUACUGACUGAGUCAUUGGAGGUAUACACACCGAAUAAUCGUUUCUUGGUUUGCUAUCCACUGCCAAAGAAAGGAUCGUGUAAGCCAACAAACAAAAUAGACAAAAGACAACCCACAUUUAUAAUAGCAAGUCUUUCUGAGUUUCAGUGCCCACUGACUGAAAUAAAUGAAAUCUCUCUUCAAAGUUAUCUUCAUAUGCGCCUCUGAUGAUGGAGUGAAACAGAGAAAUCUCUUUAAAGUAACAAAACAUUAUGGGAGCAGAACAACAACAAAACCAACAACUCCUGAACAAGAUUCAAGAACUUGAAGCAAGACAAUUAUAUCUCGAAGAAGAGAUCUUCAAACUAAUCCAUUCAUCAUCUUACAUACCUAAUAAAUCAGGUUUCGUUCCAAGAUCCAGCGGUGCACGAGAACACAGUGUUGCUGGUGAUGAUGAUGAGGGGAAUAGGUAUAAUUCUGGUAAUUGGAAAACGGGUUCUGCUGCGUUUGGAUUUUCACCCCCUUCACAGAGUCAGAAUAGGAGGAGAAGACCUAGUGCUGAGUUUUCAUACCCCAAUAUAGGAGCUGAAACUUCUGUUCUGAGUUUUGCUGAUAAACAGUUUUUAAAUAUCUUGCAGUCUAUGGGUCAGUCUAUUCAUAUUUUUGAUACUACUGGUCGCAUAAUUUACUGGAAUCGCAUGGCCGAGCUCCUCUUUGGGCACUCUGCAUCAGAAGCACUUGGCCAGGAUGUCUGUAAGUUACUCGCACAUUCCCAAGACGUUGAUGCAGCAAAUGAAAUAGUGAAGAGGGUUCUCUCGGGAGAAGAUUGGACAGGGCAGUUUCCAGUAAGGAAUAAAGCAGGGGAACCUUUUUGUAUCAUUGCGACCAGUUCUGCAUUAUAUGAUGACAAUGGUAGUUUGGUAGGGAUUAUUAGUAUAACAGGUAAUGCAGAUUGCUUUAGAGAUGUUUUCUUUCCAUCUUCUGUAAAAAUUUCUCCUAAAGGGUGUUCAAGCACUAGAUGGCUUAGGAGUUGUAGCCCAACAGUUAAACCUGGUGUUAAUUCUCAGCCACCUGUGCAAAAUAUGAUCGCCUCAAAGAUAUCGAAUCUGGCAUCUAGAGUGACCAGCAAAGUUCGGCUGAAAGUGAAGACUAAUGAGAACACUUUGGGGCGCGAAAUCCAGUCUGGAGAUGGUCACUAUUUUGAUCAUUGGGAGGAUCCAAGUUCAAGUAGAGCUAGCACGCCUAGACGCGGCAUAUCCCCGUCUUCUUUUGGUGUUCCUAUCAACGAUACCCUAGAGAAAAGAUCCCUGGAAAUACCUAUCAGCUAUUGUGGUGGUGAUGAUGGUGAUGGCGGGAUUGGGAAAUACAAGAGAAUAACCUCUAAGGUAGAGGCAUGGAUUAACCAAAAGGGGAUAUCAUGGCCAUGGAAGGGGAGUGAGCAGGAUGUGUCGGUAGUAAGGACUGGCCAUGAUGAUGUUCCCUUUCUGAAUGACGAUGCUGAAAUGUACUUUGGUCGGCAGAAGAAUUCCUAUAAUAAUGGAAGGCCGGUUGGUACUACCCAGUUAGAGUGUGAAGCCCCAGGUUGUUUGCCUUGUUCUGAUGUAAUGCGUACAAGCAGUGCGAGCACAAGUGUUAGUAAAAGAAGCAGCGUUAUCUGUAAAGUUGACAGGGAAACAUGUUCCUUGGAUAAUGAUAUCUUGUGGGAAGACUUGAUAAUUGGAGAAAAAAUUGGGCAAGGUUCAUGUGGAAGUGUGUAUCGUGGUCUAUGGUGUGGCUCGGAUGUAGCAUUAAAGCUAUUCGUGAAACUUGAUUACUCAGAUGACUUGCUGCAUUCCUGCAGACAGGAGGUCUUACUUAUGAAGAGGCUCCGACAUCCAAAUGUACUACUAUUUAUCGGGGCAGUAGCAUCACCUCAGCAUCUCUGCGUCAUUACAGAGUUCCUGCCAUGUGGAAGUUUGUAUCAUUUGCUUCAACGGAGCUCUGAGAAAUUAGAUUGGAGGCGACGUGUUCUCAUGGCUCUGGACAUUGCACGGGGUAUGAAUUAUCUUCAUCUUUGCAACCCACCCAUUGUUCAUCGUGACUUGAAGUCAUCAAAUCUGUUGGUUGAUAGAAACUGGACUGUGAAGGUUGGUGACUUUGGUCUCUCAAAAUUCAAGCAUCAAACGUUUCUGUCAACAUUGACUGGACGGGGAAUGCCACAGUGGAUGGCUCCAGAGGUUCUGCGUAAUGAUCGGUCAGAUGAGAAGUCUGACGUUUAUAGUUAUGGAGUAAUAUUGUGGGAGAUUGCAACACAAAAAAUCCCUUGGGAUAACUAUAACUCAAUGCAGAAAAAUAGAAACAGCAGAAGAACACGGGUCGUACUGCAGUUGCGGAGAGGUGAUUGCAGCUGUGGGAUGCAUGAACCAACGACUUGAGAUUCCAAAAGAAAUGGAUCCAGGAUGGGUCUCUAUAAUUGAGAGCUGCUGGCAAAGGUGCCUAUCUCCAACAUGUUUCUUGUUGACAUGACCCAAAAUACCGACCAACAUUCCGGGAACUGCUCGAGAAAUUAAAGCAUCUGCAGAGACUUCAAGCUUAAGCAUCCCGCUUAGCUCAUGGAAGUCAAAACUACAGCGUCGCUAACAGAUAUUUGAAUUCAUUGCAAUCUAUAUACAUAACAUCAUCAGCAGAAAUCUCAGGUGCAUGCUUGGAUUCAUGAUAAUAAUAUUUUGAGCUUGUGUUUCAUUGUUGAGAGUUCUGAUUGGAGCGUUAAAUUUGAACUUGACAUGACGUUAUGCUGCUCUUUCCCGUUGGUUCUUGUACGCCCUGUGACAAGGACAGGCAUGACAGUAUAUACACCACUGCCAAGUUGCAAAUCCAGGAGAACGCUCAAGUGCUUUGCGAAUUUCAACACUUCCUCUUAACAUUCUUCUUUGUUUUAAACAUGUUCUUGGUCCAAAAGUUUAUAGCAUUUUCAUCGUCAUUUAUAUGAGCAGCCUUAAAUGCCA
RNA transcript from Papaver somniferum (opium poppy), 3266 nucleotides. It is a transcript of the gene named fibroblast growth factor receptor 2-like, with no coding region annotated. The transcript is spliced from 15 exons. The record is from RefSeq and is a predicted model, not a curated record. Lineage: Eukaryota; Viridiplantae; Streptophyta; Magnoliopsida; Ranunculales; Papaveraceae.